CAGCAGCCACGGGAAUACGGAGGGUGCAAGCGUUAAUCGGAAUUACUGGGCGUAAAGCGCACGCAGGCGGUUUGUUAAGUCAGAUGUGAAAUCCCCGGGCUCAACCUGGGAACUGCAUUUGAAACUGGCAAGCUAGAGUCUCGUAGAGGGGGGUAGAAUUCCAGGUGUAGCGGUGAAAUGCGUAGAGAUCUGGAGGAAUACCGGUGGCGAAGGCGGCCCCCUGGACGAAGACUGACGCUCAGGUGCGAAAGCGUGGGGAGCAAACAGGAUUAGAUACCCCUGUAGUCCCUGUCUCUUAUAC
This 301-nucleotide ribosomal RNA is filed under the name uncultured bacterium. RNAcentral describes it as "partial 16S ribosomal RNA". It matches the Rfam family "Bacterial small subunit ribosomal RNA", at positions 509 to 807 of the family's 1533-position model. The record is from RNAcentral.